Molecule: ribosomal RNA, 468 nt
Filed under: uncultured bacterium
Lineage: Bacteria
Description: partial 16S ribosomal RNA
Rfam family: Bacterial small subunit ribosomal RNA
Source: RNAcentral
GACGAACGCUGGCGGCGCGCCUAACACAUGCAAGUCGAACGGAGUCAAGAGGAGCUUGCUUUUCUUGACUUAGUGGCGAACGGGUGAGUAACGCGUGAGUAACCUGCCCUGGAGUGGGGGACAACAGUUGGAAACGACUGCUAAUACCGCAUAAGCCCACGGAUCCGCAUGGAUCUGCGGGAAAAGGAUUUAUUCGCUUCAGGAUGGACUCGCGUCCAAUUAGCUAGUUGGUGAGGUAACGGCCCACCAAGGCGACGAUUGGUAGCCGGACUGAGAGGUUGAACGGCCACAUUGGGAAUGAGACACGGCCCAGACUCCUACGGGAGGCAGCAGUGGGGGAUAUUGCACAAUGGGGGAAACCCUGAUGCAGCGACGCCGCGUGGAGGAAGAAGGUUUUCGGAUUGUAAACUCCUGUCGUUAGGGACGAUAAUGACGGUACCUAACAAGAAAGCACCGGCUAACUACGUG